This 1439-nucleotide ribosomal RNA is filed under the name uncultured bacterium. Its description in RNAcentral is "bacterial SSU rRNA". It matches the Rfam family "Bacterial small subunit ribosomal RNA". The record is from RNAcentral.
AGGGUUUGAUCAUGGCUCAGAACGUACGCUGGCGGCACGCCUAACACAUGCAAGUCGAACGAAGUAGCAAUACUUAGUGGCAGACGGGUGAGUAACAUGUGGGUAUCUGCCCUUUGGCCUGGAAUAACACGAGGAAACUUGUGCUAAUACCGGAUAAGUCUUUACGGAGAAAGCUUUAUGCACCAUUGGAUGAGCCCGCACUUGAUUAGUUUGUUGGUGGGGUAAUGGCCUACCAAGACUGUGAUCAAUAGCUGAUUUGAGAGGAUGAUCAGCCACAUUGGGACUGAGACACGGCCCAAACUCCUACGGGAGGCAGCAGUGGGGAAUCUUGCACAAUGGAGGAAACUCUGAUGCAGCGAUGCCGCGUGAGUGAAGAAGGCCCUUGGGUUGUAAAGCUCUUUCGUCGGGGAAGAAAAUGACUGUACCCGAAUAAGAAGGUCCGGCUAACUUCGUGCCAGCAGCCGCGGUAAUACGAAGGGACCUAGCGUAGUUCGGAAUUACUGGGCUUAAAGAGUUCGUAGGUGGUUGAAAUAGUUAGUGGUGAAAUCCCAGAGCUUAACUCUGGAACUGCCAUUAAAACUUUUCAGCUAGAGUAUGAUAGAGGAAAGCAGAAUUUCUAGUGUAGAGGUGAAAUUCGUAGAUAUUAGAAAGAAUACCAAUUGCGAAGGCAGCUUUCUGGAUCAUUACUGACACUGAGGAACGAAAGCAUGGGUAGCGAAGAGGAUUAGAUACCCUCGUAGUCCAUGCCGUAAACGAUGUGUGUUAGACGUUGGAAAUUUAUUUUCAGUGUCGCAGCGAAAGCGAUAAACACACCGCCUGGGGAGUACGACCGCAAGGUUAAAACUCAAAUGAAUUGACGGGGACCCGCACAAGUAGUGGAGCAUGUGGUUUAAUUCGAAGAUACGCGCAGAACCUUACCAACACUUGACAUGUUCGUCGCGACUCUAAGAGAUUAGAGUUUUCGGUUCGGCCGGACGAAACACAGGUGCUGCAUGGCUGUCGUCAGCUCGUGUCGUGAGAUGUUGGGUUAAGUCCCGCAACGAGCGCAACCCUCACUUUUAGUUGCCAUCAUUAAGUUGGGCACUCUGAAAGAACUGCCAGUGAUAAGCUGGAGGAAGGUGGGGAUGACGUCAAGUCCUCAUGGCCCUUACGUGUUGGGCUACACACGUGCUACAAUGGUAUCUACAACAGGAAGCAAGACUGCGAGGUCAAGCAAAUCCUUAAAAGAUACCUCAGUUCGGAUUGCACUCUGCAACUCGAGUGCAUGAAGCUGGAAUUACUAGUAAUCGUGGAUCAGCGUGCCACGGUGAAUGCGUUCCCGGGUCUUGUACACACCGCCCGUCACACCAUGGGAGUUGGUUCUACCUUAAGGCAAGGUUUCAAACCCUUGACCACGGUAUAGUCAGCGACUGGGGUGAAGUCGUAACAAGGUAACCGUA